This is a long non-coding RNA of Anoplophora glabripennis (Asian longhorned beetle), 1286 nucleotides long. RefSeq lists it as uncharacterized. The transcript has 3 exons. The record is from RefSeq and is a predicted model, not a curated record. Lineage: Eukaryota; Metazoa; Arthropoda; Insecta; Coleoptera; Cerambycidae.
CCUAAUUCUAGGUCACGUGACUUAGGGCAAAUGUCCGCGGCUUUCGCUGUUCUUGUUGGAACAGCUAAAAUGCGCAAAAAGUCGGCUUUGACUACAUACAUAUACUAUUAACACUAUUAACUCUAUGAGUAAAAGUGACACUUUCAAAAUGGUGGGCAGCAAGGGGUACAACAAGGCGGGGGACGACGAGUACAAGGUUCACAAACACAAGGACUAUAACAAGUGCAGCAUGGUAUCAUACAUGGACAACGUAUAUAUAUAGCAGGAGUGCCGAAUGGAAUGCCGCCAGUUGCAGGUUUACAACAAGCUCCAUUGCUUGUAUUCGAUGUAUUCGACAUUUUGGAAAAAGUGUGCAGAAUAUUUUAUUUCGAUACUACAAAUUUUAUGAACAUCUGUCAAAUAUAUAAUUUUAUAACUAAGACAACAUUUGAAGCAUGGAGCUCUUGAUGUAUCUAACACCAUAUUUUUCAGCAGCAGCUUUUACCCAAGUAGAAUAUAGACCCAAAAUCGCUAAUUUUGGAACAUACCAAAAUUCCGCCGCUAGACGCGGACAACAUAAUUCAUAAGCUGAUGUUUUAAAAUCCCACAGUACCACAAAACUUAUAAGUGAUACAUUUUGUCAAGUAUAAAUAUUUAAAUAUACAUAGUACAUAUAGUAGUACCUACCCUAACUUAACCUGACUUGCAUAAAUCGUUUAUUUUUUUCAAAAUUUCGUGGAAACACUAAUAAGUUUGCCAACCCGCCCAAUAUAAGACGGAGUUUAGGUUUAUUCUAUGUGCUAGCAAAGAAAAAUUGCGCUUUAGCAGUCAGCACUCUUUGAAUAUAUAGUAAAAAUAUAGCAUUUAUAUAUUAUCUAGGGCAUACUAGCUUCAGAUCAGACCAAGACCAAGUCAAAUCGGUUAGAAGUUAUUUGUUUAUGUAAGUGGAUAUUUUACGUAACCAAUUAGAAAUUUGCAUAUUUCAGGUAAAUAAUAACUAGAUAUCCAUGCAAUAUAAAUACUUUUGUGACAAGCAGAGAAAAAAUAACAAUUUUCAAAACCUGAGGAAAAAUUAUAAGUGUACUAAUGGAUAAUAAAUCUCCAAUCUGCGAUCCUUGCUUAUUCUGUUACAGAAUAUUUGACCCUCCUUAUUGUACUGCUUGGAAUCCUCCGUUUUAUGCUCGAUGUGUGUACCUGCCUGGCGGAGUCCCAAACAAUCCUGGGUGCUGUUGUCCUCCCUGUCCCUAAGUGAUGGAGUUUUUGUUUAAUAUGGAAGAAUAUAUGCAAAAAUGUUAUAGUACCUACCA